This 497-nucleotide ribosomal RNA is filed under the name uncultured bacterium. Its description in RNAcentral is "partial 16S ribosomal RNA". It matches the Rfam family "Bacterial small subunit ribosomal RNA", at positions 28 to 507 of the family's 1533-position model. The record is from RNAcentral.
GAUGAACGCUGGCGGCGUGCCUAAUACAUGCGAGUCGAGCGAACAGACGAGGAGCUUGCUCCUCUGACGUUAGCGGCGGACGGGUGAGUAACACGUGGAUAACCUACCUAUAAGACCGGGAUAACUUCGGGAAACCGGAGCUAAUACCGGAUAAUAUAUUGAACCGCAUGGUUCAAUAGUGAAAGACGGUUUUGCUGUCACUUAUAGAUGGAUCCGCGCCGCAUUAGCUAGUUGGUAAGGUAACGGCUUACCAAGGCAACGAUGCGUAGCCGACCUGAGAGGGUGAUCGGCCACACUGGAACUGAGACACGGUCCAGACUCCUACGGGAGGCAGCAGUAGGGAAUCUUCCGCAAUGGGCGAAAGCCUGACGGAGCAACGCCGCGUGAGUGAUGAAGGUCUUCGGAUCGUAAAACUCUGUUAUUAGGGAAGAACAAAUGUGUAAGUAACUAUGCACGUCUUGACGGUACCUAAUCAGAAAGCCACGGCUAACUACGUG